UACAGAGGGUGCAAGCGUUAAUCGGAUUUACUGGGCGUAAAGCGCGCGUAGGUGGCCAAUUAAGUCAAAUGUGAAAUCCCCGAGCUUAACUUGGGAAUUGCAUUCGAUACUGGUUGGCUAGAGUAUGGGAGAGGAUGGUAGAAUUCCAGGUGUAGCGGUGAAAUGCGUAGAGAUCUGGAGGAAUACCAAUGGCGAAGGCAGCCAUCUGGCCUAAUACUGACACUGAGGUGCGAAAGCAUGGGGAGCAAACAGG
RNAcentral lists this ribosomal RNA (253 nucleotides) under uncultured bacterium. RNAcentral's name for it is "partial 16S ribosomal RNA". It matches the Rfam family "Bacterial small subunit ribosomal RNA", at positions 524 to 776 of the family's 1533-position model. The record is from RNAcentral.